This 292-nucleotide ribosomal RNA is filed under the name uncultured bacterium. Its description in RNAcentral is "partial 16S ribosomal RNA". The record is from RNAcentral.
GGACUACCCGGGUAUCUAAUCCUGUUUGCUCCCCAUGCUUUCGUGCUUUAGUGUCUGUACCGGACCAGCUGACCGCCUUCGCCACUGGUGUUCUUUCUGAUAUCUACGCAUUUCACUGCUACACCAGAAAUUCCGUCAGCCUCUUCCGUACACAAGCCUUGCAGUAUCAAAGGCAGUUCCGGGGUUGAGCCCCGAAAUUUCACCUCUGACUUACAAAACCACCUGAGCACCCUUUACACCCAGUAAAUCCGGACAACGCUUGCCCCCUACGUAUUACCGCGGCGGCUGGCAC